GUAGUUGGAUUCACAUCAAUCCACAUGUGUUGGGGUGGGUUGGAGUGUAACUUAAACUAAAUUCUACCUCAAUCCACAUAUGUGGAUUGAGUUAAAUACGACA
This 103-nucleotide microRNA precursor is filed under the name Sorghum bicolor (sorghum). RNAcentral's name for it is "MIR5565 microRNA precursor family". It matches the Rfam family "MIR5565 microRNA precursor family". The record is from Rfam by way of RNAcentral. Lineage: Eukaryota; Viridiplantae; Streptophyta; Magnoliopsida; Poales; Poaceae.